RNAcentral lists this ribosomal RNA (119 nucleotides) under Pteropus alecto (black flying fox). Lineage: Eukaryota; Metazoa; Chordata; Mammalia; Chiroptera; Pteropodidae. The record is from RNAcentral.
GUCUAUGGCCAUGCCACCCUGAACACGCCCAAUCUCGUCUGAUCUCAGAAGCUAAGCAGGGUCAGGCCUGGUUAGUACUUGGAUGGGAGACCACCUAAGAAGACCGGGUGCUGUAGGCA